AACGCGACGACUUGCAAGUUGUAGCGACCAUCGAGUGUGAC
Molecule: small RNA, 41 nt
Filed under: Sinorhizobium meliloti 2011
Lineage: Bacteria; Pseudomonadati; Pseudomonadota; Alphaproteobacteria; Hyphomicrobiales; Rhizobiaceae
Description: putative ncRNA
Source: RNAcentral